This 440-nucleotide ribosomal RNA is filed under the name uncultured bacterium. RNAcentral's name for it is "partial 16S ribosomal RNA". It matches the Rfam family "Bacterial small subunit ribosomal RNA", at positions 61 to 795 of the family's 1533-position model. The record is from RNAcentral.
CCUCCUUUCUUCCUCCUUUUUGCCUCUUGCCCCAUGGGGGGACCCCUGCUGCAGCAACGCCGCGUGGGUGAAGAAGUACUUCGGUAUGUAAAGCCCUGUCAGCAGGGAAGAAAAUGACGGUACCUAACCAAGAAGCACCGGCUAACUACGUGCCAGCAUCCGCGGUAAUACGUAGGGGGCAAGCGUUAUCCGGAUUUACUGGGUGUAAAGGGAGCGUAGACGGCAAGGCAAGUCUGGAGUGAAAGCCCGUGGCUCAACCACGGGACUGCUUUGGACACUGGGUUGCUGGAGUGCAGGAGGGGGUAGGGGAAUUCCUAGGGUAGCGGGGAAAUGCGGAGAUAUUAGGAGGAACACCGGUGGCGAAGGCGGCUUAGUGGACUGUAACGGACGUUGAGGCUCGAAGGCGUGGGGAGGAAACAGGAUUAGAUACCCUAGUAGUC